CCUACGGGCGGCUGCAGUAGGGAAUUUUCGGCAAUGGGCGAAAGCCUGACCGAGCAACGCCGCGUGAACGAAGAAGGUCCUCGGAUUGUAAAGCUCCGUUAUAGAGGAAGAAUGGUGUACGUAGGAAAUCGCGCACAAAUGACGGUACUCUGUGAGGAAGCCACGGCAAACUACGUGCCAGCAGCCGCGGUAAUACGUAGGUGGCGAGUGUUAUCCGGAAUCAUUGGGCGAAAAGAGGGAGCAGGCGGAAGGUUAAGUCAGCGGUCAAAUGUCGGUGCUCAACACCGGCCUGCCGUUGAAACUGGUCUUCUUGAGUGAGCGAGAGGUAUGCGGAAUGCGUGGUGUAGCGGUGAAAUGCAUAGAUAUCACGCAGAACUCCGAUUGCGAAGGCAGCAUACCGGCGCUCAACUGACGCUGAGGCACGAAAGCGUGGGGAUCGAACAGGAUUAGAUACCCGGGUAGUC
Molecule: ribosomal RNA, 464 nt
Filed under: uncultured bacterium
Lineage: Bacteria
Description: partial 16S ribosomal RNA
Rfam family: Bacterial small subunit ribosomal RNA
Source: RNAcentral